GACGAACGCUGGCGGCGUGCUUAACACAUGCAAGUCGAGCGGUAAGGCCCUUUCGGGGGUACACGAGCGGCGAACGGGUGAGUAACACGUGGGCGACCUGCCCUCAGCUCUGGGAUAAGCCCGGGAAACUGGGUCUAAUACCGGAUAUGACCUCUCAUCGCAUGGUGGGUGGUGGAAAGUUUUUUCGGCUGAGGAUGGGCCCGCGGCCUAUCAGCUUGUUGGUGGGGUGAUGGCCUACCAAGGCGACGACGGGUAGCCGGCCUGAGAGGGCGACCGGCCACACUGGGACUGAGACACGGCCCAGACUCCUACGGGAGGCAGCAGUGGGGAAUAUUGCGCAAUGGGCGGAAGCCUGACGCAGCGACGCCGCGUGGGGGAUGACGGCCUUCGGGUUGUAAACCUCUUUCGACCUUGACGAAGGCCUUCGGGUUGACGGUAGGGGUAGAAGAAGCACCGGCCAACUACGUGC
RNAcentral lists this ribosomal RNA (469 nucleotides) under uncultured Pseudonocardiaceae bacterium. RNAcentral describes it as "bacterial SSU rRNA". It matches the Rfam family "Bacterial small subunit ribosomal RNA", at positions 28 to 508 of the family's 1533-position model. Lineage: Bacteria; Bacillati; Actinomycetota; Actinomycetes; Pseudonocardiales; Pseudonocardiaceae. The record is from RNAcentral.